CCUACGGGAGGCAGCAGUGGGGAAUAUUGCACAAUGGGGGAAACCCUGAUGCAGCGACGCCGCGUGAGUGAAGAAGUAAUUCGUUAUGUAAAGCUCUAUCAGCAGGGAAGCAAAUGACGGUACCUGAGUAAGAAGCCCCGGCUAACUACGUGCCAGCAGCCGCGGUAAUACGUCGGGGGCAAGCGUUAUCCGGAUUUACUGGGUGUAAAGGGAGCGUAGACGGGAGUGCAAGUCUGGAGGGAAAGGGGGGGGCUCAACCCCCGGACUGCUCUGGAAACUGGACGGCUGGAGUGCAGGAGAGGUAAGUGGAAUGCCUGGUGUAGCGGUGAAAUGCGUAGAUAUUAGGCGGAACACCAGUGGCGAAGGCGGCUUACUGGACUGUAACUGACGUUGAGGCUCGAAAGCGUGGGGAGCAAACAGGAUUAGAUACCCUUGUAGUC
This 440-nucleotide ribosomal RNA is filed under the name uncultured bacterium. RNAcentral's name for it is "partial 16S ribosomal RNA". It matches the Rfam family "Bacterial small subunit ribosomal RNA", at positions 338 to 795 of the family's 1533-position model. The record is from RNAcentral.